Callithrix jacchus (white-tufted-ear marmoset) is the source of this 292-nucleotide unclassified non-coding RNA. It matches the Rfam family "Metazoan signal recognition particle RNA". From Rfam's summary of the family: The signal recognition particle (SRP) is a universally conserved ribonucleoprotein. It is involved in the co-translational targeting of proteins to membranes. The record is from Ensembl. Lineage: Eukaryota; Metazoa; Chordata; Mammalia; Primates; Cebidae.
ACCAGGCACAGUGGUGCGUGCUGGUCCCAACUACCUGGGAAGCUGAGGUGGAGGAUGGCUUUAGUCCGGAGUUCUGGGCUGUACUGUGCUAUGCCAUUUAGGGGUCCACACUAAGAUUGGCAUCAAUAUGAUGACCUUUCAGGAAGGGGCCAACAGGUUUAGUAAUGAGGGGUAAACUGGCCUGGGUUGGAAACAGAACAGGUCAAAACUCCUGUACUGAUCAGUAGUGGGAUCAUGCCUGCGAAUAGCCACUGCACUCCAUUCUGGGCAACAUAGCAAGACCCUGUCUUUU